Molecule: ribosomal RNA, 209 nt
Filed under: uncultured Lactobacillus sp.
Lineage: Bacteria; Bacillati; Bacillota; Bacilli; Lactobacillales; Lactobacillaceae
Description: partial 16S ribosomal RNA
Rfam family: Bacterial small subunit ribosomal RNA
Source: RNAcentral
AAACAGAUGCUAAUACCGGAUAACAACAGAUGAUGCCUAUCAACUGUUUAAAAGAUGGUUCUGCUAUCACUCUUGGAUGGACCUGCGGUGCAUUAGCUAGUUGGUAGGGUAACGGCCUACCAAGGCGAUGAUGCAUAGCCGAGUUGAGAGACUGAUCGGCCACAGUUGGGACUGAGACACGGCCCAAACUCCUACGGGAGGCAGCAGCA